CAGUAGCACGGUAAUACGGAGGGAGCUAGCGUUGUUCGGAAUUACUGGGCGUAAAGCGCACGUAGGCGGCUUUGUAAGUUAGAGGUGAAAGCCUGGAGCUCAACUCCAGAACUGCCUUUAAGACUGCAUCGCUUGAAUCCAGGAGGGGUGAGUGGAAUUCCGAGUGUAGAGGUGAAAUUCGUAGAUAUUCGGAAGAACACCAGUGGCGAAGGCGGCUCACUGGACUGGUAUUGACGCUGAGGUGCGAAAGCGUGGGGAGCAAACAGGAUUAGAUACCCCUGUAGUCCCUGUCUCUUAUACC
RNAcentral lists this ribosomal RNA (301 nucleotides) under uncultured bacterium. Its description in RNAcentral is "partial 16S ribosomal RNA". It matches the Rfam family "Bacterial small subunit ribosomal RNA", at positions 509 to 808 of the family's 1533-position model. The record is from RNAcentral.